Long non-coding RNA from Oreochromis aureus, 1123 nucleotides. The record is from Ensembl. Lineage: Eukaryota; Metazoa; Chordata; Actinopteri; Cichliformes; Cichlidae.
AAAACAUAAAUUGGAGGACAAUAUGAUCAAUAUUCUCUUUCUCUGUCUGACAGAUAAUACACUGUUUGCAUAACAUAAGAUUAUCUAAAAGUGUAAAUGUUAUGAUUUAAGCAAAAUUGGGGUUUUUUAACGUUUCUACGAGUCUUCAGGUUCCGUCAGUCUCCCUUUGAGUUCAUCACAAAUGUUGGUUCAGAUGUUCUGCGGCCAUGAAAAGACUGACUACAGAGUGAUGCUCUGGUAACAGCAGCAGCUUGGAGAGAAAGCUAUGAAACACCUUUUCUUUAAACUUCAAAGUUGUCGCAUUUGAAGACCAAUUCAUGAUCAUUUCAAUAUCACUGGAGAUUUGGGUGGGAAUAGAGCAAAAAAGGACUCUGUCCCUAAACAGCACGCCAAAUUUCAGAGCCUAUGAAGCUUUCACAGACAAAGAAAGAAAAUAACAGUGUGUACCACAAACACAGAAACACUAUUUAUUUCCAUGAGGUGGCCGUAUGUCUGUAUGUCUGCCCAUUUUCCUGGUGGGAGGGUUUAACAAGAAAUGAGAUAUGAAUAAUCAGCAGAACUGAAUAUACAGUUAUGAAAGCACAGACAACAUAACAGUGGUGUUCUUGAGUUUAGUUAUGCAAACCAACAUGGUAAUUACUUUCUUCUGCAUAAGCCUUAACAUUAUCCUCGUGUCAGGUUCUUCACUCAGUGACCAAGUCCACCAGGAUCCAGCUGAUAUUUAUUCAAUUCAAGGAGAAACCGCAGCAAUCACCUGUUCACACAAUAUAGACACCUAUAAUCAAAUCCUCUGGUACAAGCAAACAAAAAACAGCCAACUGCAGCUCCUGGGAUACAUGUAUUUAACAAGCCCAUCUGUAGAGCCUGGAGUGACUGUGACAAUUGCUGGGAAUGCAAAUAAAGACGAGACCUGCACACUGACAAUUAAAGAUCUCUUCAUGAACAGCAGUGCAGUGUACUUCUGUGCUGCUAGAUUCCACAGUGCUACAUAUCACUGAUCCACAAUACAAAAACCUUCUAAAUGGUAGUUUUUAUCUCUUACAGCUCACAGACACUCGCACCUGUAUUCUAACCAACAUUGAUCUUGUGAUUAUAAUCCUUAGACUUAAAACCUUUAACCUCC